GGAUUCCUUAGUAAUUGCGAAUGAACAAAGAAAUGCUCAGCUUGAAAAAUGGGGCCUUUGGCUUUGAAUUGUAAUUUUGAAAUGUAUUGCCAAUGGAGGCGCAGGUGCAAGCCUAUUGAAAGAAAGCGUCAAUGAGGGUGAGAUUCCUUUUUGUCAUUUGCAGUCCUCCGUGCACGGUAUAUAUUUGACGAGUCACACUCCUCGGCAUUGGAAUGCAAAGUGGGUGGUAAAUUCCAUGUAAAGGUAAAUAUAUUAUUGAGACUGAUAGCAAACAAGUACCAUGAGGGAAAUAUGAAAAGGACUUUGAAAAGAGAAUUAAAAGAGUCUGCAUUUGCUGAACAGAAAGCAAACAGAAUUGAUUUUACUUGGUGAGAUUGUUGUGCUUACUCUAUCAUUUAUAUGGUUGAUGUGGGUGCGAUGGUUCUUACCUUGAAUGUCAGCUUCUAUUUCUGCAAAUCAUUACCCUUGCACAUGAAUGGUAAUUUGCCUGCGGGUAUUGGAAUGCAUGUGUUUGCAAUGAUUUGUGAUUUGACGCAUGUGUUUGGUGAAAUUUGUAUAUGCUCUUUUGUCGAAGGGGAAAGCUUACUUUUUUGAGCAUUGCAAGCCCUUACACAUCAGUGCUGGCAAAAUGUUUCUGCUUGACCCGUCUUGAAACACGGACCAAGGAGUCUAACAGAUGUGCAAGUUCGUGGGUGGCAAACCUUUUUGCGCAAUGAAAGUAUUGGCUGGGAUACUUGCACCAGCAGCCGACCAAUUAGCAGACAGAGGUUUGAGUUUGAGCAUAUCUAUUAGGACCCGAAAGAUGGUGAACUAUGCCUGAACAGAAUGAAUUCAGAGGAAACUCUGAUGGAGGUUCGUAUCGAUACUGACGUGCAAAUCGUUCGUCAUACUUGGGUAUAGGGGCGAAAGACUAAUCGAACCAUCUAGUAGCUGGUUCCCUCCGAAGUUUCCCUCAGGAUAGCUGGAGUUGCACAGUUUUAUCAGGUAAAGCGAAUGAUUAGAGGAAUUGGGGACACGCUGUCCUUGACCUAUUCUCAAACUUUAAAUGGGUAAGAUGCAAUGGUUGCUUUAUUGAACUUUUGGAAUAAAUGGCAAUAUCAGGUGGGCCAUUUUUGGUAAGCAGAACUGGCGAUGAGGGAUGAACCUAACGUUGGGUUAAGGUGCUUAAUUGCUUGCUCAUUAGAUACCAGAAAGGGUGUUGGUUCAUUUUAACAGCAGGACGGUGGUCAUGGAAGUCGAAAUCCGCUAAGGAGUGUGUAACAACUCACCUGCCGAAUGGACUAGCCCCGAAAAUGGAUGGCGCUCAAGCGGGUGACCGAUACCCAACCACUGUUGCAAAUAGUGUCAGUGUGUAGGAGGGCAUGGCGGUUUG
Molecule: ribosomal RNA, 1372 nt
Filed under: Alexandrium minutum
Lineage: Eukaryota; Dinophyceae; Gonyaulacales; Pyrocystaceae
Description: LSU rRNA
Rfam family: Eukaryotic large subunit ribosomal RNA
Source: RNAcentral